GGGUUGUGAGGUUAAGCGACUAAGCGUACACGGUGGAUGCCCUGGCAGUCAGAGGCGAUGAAGGACGUGCUAAUCUGCGAUAAGCGUCGGUAAGGUGAUAUGAACCGUUAUAACCGGCGAUUUCCGAAUGGGGAAACCCAGUGUGAUUCGUCACACUAUCAUUAACUGAAUCCAUAGGUUAAUGAGGCGAACCGGGGGAACUGAAACAUCUAAGUACCCCGAGGAAAAGAAAUCAACCGAGAUUCCCCCAGUAGCGGCGAGCGAACGGGGAGCAGCCCAGAGCCUGAAUCAGUGUGUGUGUUAGUGGAAGCGUCUGGAAAGGCGCGCGAUACAGGGUGACAGCCCCGUACACAAAAAUGCACAUGCUGUGAGCUCGAUGAGUAGGGCGGGACACGUGGUAUCCUGUCUGAAUAUGGGGGGACCAUCCUCCAAGGCUAAAUACUCCUGACUGACCGAUAGUGAACCAGUACCGUGAGGGAAAGGCGAAAAGAACCCCGGCGAGGGGAGUGAAAAAGAACCUGAAACCGUGUACGUACAAGCAGUGGGAGCACGCUUAGGCGUGUGACUGCGUACCUUUUGUAUAAUGGGUCAGCGACUUAUAUUCUGUAGCAAGGUUAACCGAAUAGGGGAGCCGAAGGGAAACCGAGUCUUAACUGGGCGUUAAGUUGCAGGGUAUAGACCCGAAACCCGGUGAUCUAGCCAUGGGCAGGUUGAAGGUUGGGUAACACUAACUGGAGGACCGAACCGACUAAUGUUGAAAAAUUAGCGGAUGACUUGUGGCUGGGGGUGAAAGGCCAAUCAAACCGGGAGAUAGCUGGUUCUCCCCGAAAGCUAUUUAGGUAGCGCCUCGUGAAUUCAUCUCCGGGGGUAGAGCACUGUUUCGGCAAGGGGGUCAUCCCGACUUACCAACCCGAUGCAAACUGCGAAUACCGGAGAAUGUUAUCACGGGAGACACACGGCGGGUGCUAACGUCCGUCGUGAAGAGGGAAACAACCCAGACCGCCAGCUAAGGUCCCAAAGUCAUGGUUAAGUGGGAAACGAUGUGGGAAGGCCCAGACAGCCAGGAUGUUGGCUUAGAAGCAGCCAUCAUUUAAAGAAAGCGUAAUAGCUCACUGGUCGAGUCGGCCUGCGCGGAAGAUGUAACGGGGCUAAACCAUGCACCGAAGCUGCGGCAGCGACACUAUGUGUUGUUGGGUAGGGGAGCGUUCUGUAAGCCUGUGAAGGUGUACUGUGAGGUAUGCUGGAGGUAUCAGAAGUGCGAAUGCUGACAUAAGUAACGAUAAAGCGGGUGAAAAGCCCGCUCGCCGGAAGACCAAGGGUUCCUGUCCAACGUUAAUCGGGGCAGGGUGAGUCGACCCCUAAGGCGAGGCCGAAAGGCGUAGUCGAUGGGAAACAGGUUAAUAUUCCUGUACUUGGUGUUACUGCGAAGGGGGGACGGAGAAGGCUAUGUUGGCCGGGCGACGGUUGUCCCGGUUUAAGCGUGUAGGCUGGUUUUCCAGGCAAAUCCGGAAAAUCAAGGCUGAGGCGUGAUGACGAGGCACUACGGUGCUGAAGCAACAAAUGCCCUGCUUCCAGGAAAAGCCUCUAAGCAUCAGGUAACAUCAAAUCGUACCCCAAACCGACACAGGUGGUCAGGUAGAGAAUACCAAGGCGCUUGAGAGAACUCGGGUGAAGGAACUAGGCAAAAUGGUGCCGUAACUUCGGGAGAAGGCACGCUGAUAUGUAGGUGAAGUCCCUCGCGGAUGGAGCUGAAAUCAGUCGAAGAUACCAGCUGGCUGCAACUGUUUAUUAAAAACACAGCACUGUGCAAACACGAAAGUGGACGUAUACGGUGUGACGCCUGCCCGGUGCCGGAAGGUUAAUUGAUGGGGUCAGCGCAAGCGAAGCUCUUGAUCGAAGCCCCGGUAAACGGCGGCCGUAACUAUAACGGUCCUAAGGUAGCGAAAUUCCUUGUCGGGUAAGUUCCGACCUGCACGAAUGGCGUAAUGAUGGCCAGGCUGUCUCCACCCGAGACUCAGUGAAAUUGAACUCGCUGUGAAGAUGCAGUGUACCCGCGGCAAGACGGAAAGACCCCGUGAACCUUUACUAUAGCUUGACACUGAACAUUGAGCCUUGAUGUGUAGGAUAGGUGGGAGGCUUUGAAGUGUGGACGCCAGUCUGCAUGGAGCCGACCUUGAAAUACCACCCUUUAAUGUUUGAUGUUCUAACGUUGACCCGUGAUCCGGGUUGCGGACAGUGUCUGGUGGGUAGUUUGACUGGGGCGGUCUCCUCCUAAAGAGUAACGGAGGAGCACGAAGGUUGGCUAAUCCUGGUCGGACAUCAGGAGGUUAGUGCAAUGGCAUAAGCCAGCUUGACUGCGAGCGUGACGGCGCGAGCAGGUGCGAAAGCAGGUCAUAGUGAUCCGGUGGUUCUGAAUGGAAGGGCCAUCGCUCAACGGAUAAAAGGUACUCCGGGGAUAACAGGCUGAUACCGCCCAAGAGUUCAUAUCGACGGCGGUGUUUGGCACCUCGAUGUCGGCUCAUCACAUCCUGGGGCUGAAGUAGGUCCCAAGGGUAUGGCUGUUCGCCAUUUAAAGUGGUACGCGAGCUGGGUUUAGAACGUCGUGAGACAGUUCGGUCCCUAUCUGCCGUGGGCGCUGGAGAACUGAGGGGGGCUGCUCCUAGUACGAGAGGACCGGAGUGGACGCAUCACUGGUGUUCGGGUUGUCAUGCCAAUGGCACUGCCCGGUAGCUAAAUGCGGAAGAGAUAAGUGCUGAAAGCAUCUAAGCACGAAACUUGCCCCGAGAUGAGUUCUCCCUGACUCCUUGAGAGUCCUGAAGGAACGUUGAAGACGACGACGUUGAUAGGCCGGGUGUGUAAGCGCAGCGAUGCGUUGAGCUAACCGGUACUAAUGAACCGUGAGGCUUAACCUUACAACGCCGAAG
This 2924-nucleotide ribosomal RNA is filed under the name Escherichia coli. RNAcentral's name for it is "bacterial LSU rRNA". It matches the Rfam family "Bacterial large subunit ribosomal RNA". RNAcentral also lists the same sequence under 1 other name. Lineage: Bacteria; Pseudomonadati; Pseudomonadota; Gammaproteobacteria; Enterobacterales; Enterobacteriaceae. The record is from RNAcentral.